AAUUGAAUAUUAUUAUUUCAAGUAAGCCGCCAUGGUGAAAUCGGUAGACACGCUGCUCUUAGGAAGCAGUGCUAGAGCAU
This 80-nucleotide transfer RNA is filed under the name Metroxylon warburgii. Its description in RNAcentral is "tRNA-Leu". Lineage: Eukaryota; Viridiplantae; Streptophyta; Magnoliopsida; Arecales; Arecaceae. The record is from RNAcentral.